Molecule: long non-coding RNA, 875 nt
Filed under: Zea mays
Lineage: Eukaryota; Viridiplantae; Streptophyta; Magnoliopsida; Poales; Poaceae
Description: drought responsive lncRNA
Source: RNAcentral
GAUAUCAUGACCAGUCAGUUAUGUACAGAGUAUUGAGUGAAGUUAUUGUGACAUAAAUGGUCGACACAAAUAGCAAAAGAAGAGUUAAACCAUAACCAAACUGAAAUACCAAAAGAGAGAAUGAAAGCAAUGAAAAUUUAUGGUGAUUUCAAGUAGCCCCUUCUAUGUAGAAAGCUCAAAGACUAAACCCUUAAUAAUACUCUUUUUUUGCAAAGAGCACUAAGAUGCUAGCUGCACAAGCCAUAGAAAUUUGGCAAACUAACUUGAACUGGGACCUGUAGUCAAGAAUUGUACAGAAACUGGAUGGCCACACUGAUAUUGUCACUAUAGUUUCAUGCCACCCCAAGCAAAACAUGAUCACAUUAUGCGCUUGACAACAAUAAGACAAUGAAAGUUUGGGUGCAAAUGGAAGAAAAUGGAUGAGUUGUCUGGUUACACUCUUAACUACCAAAAGAAGAUGCAAGUACAAAAUAUGUUGCAAGCACUCCAACACAAAGAUGAGAGAAUAAAUAUGUUACAAACACGGUUAAUCGACUAUACAAUGUUGCUCUGCAAUUAAGUUAAUGUCAUCCAUUUUGAGCACUUACAAAUCAUUUAAUAAUCAACUAAAUUCCAUCAACCUUAUUCUUUGUUCAUAUUUAUAGAAAGAUACAACACAUGAAGCCUGCCAAGAAUUAGGAUAUUAAGUUAAGACUUAAGAACACACAGAGGUACGUAUUUACUAUUUGCAGGCUACAAUUGUAGAAUAGGUUUGAUAGAUUCAUCAAUCCACAGCUCCACAUUCCAAUUCAUUUUAUCAAUUCUAGAAAGAACUCUUCUCAAGGAUUCAUAUAUUUUUGUAAUACUACAAAGCAAACCUAAUUUCUCUAUUCGUU